This is a small nuclear RNA of Chlorocebus sabaeus (green monkey), 104 nucleotides long. The record is from Ensembl. NCBI's taxonomy places the organism in Eukaryota, Metazoa, Chordata, Mammalia, Primates, Cercopithecidae.
GUACUCGCUUCGACAUCACAUAUACUAAAAUUGGAAGGACACAGAGAUUAGCAUGGCCCCUGUGCAAGGAUGAUAUGCAAAUUCAUGAAGCGCUUCAUAUUUUU